RNAcentral lists this ribosomal RNA (860 nucleotides) under uncultured bacterium. Its description in RNAcentral is "bacterial SSU rRNA". It matches the Rfam family "Bacterial small subunit ribosomal RNA", at positions 518 to 1378 of the family's 1533-position model. The record is from RNAcentral.
CGGUAAUACGGAGGGUGCAAGCGUUACUCGGAAUCACUGGGCGUAAAGCGCGCGCAGGCGGUCUAUUAAGUUGGAUGUGAAAGCCUACGGCUCAACCGUAGAACUGCAUCCAAAACUAUUAGACUAGAGUGUGGGAGAGGAAGAUGGAAUUAGUUGUGUAGGGGUAAAAUCCGUAGAGAUAACUAGGAAUACCAAAAGCGAAGGCAAUCUUCUGGAACACUACUGACGCUGGGGCGCGAAAGCGUGGGGAGCAAACAGGAUUAGAUACCCUGGUAGUCCACGCAGUAAACGAUGAAUGUUAGUCGUCGGGGGCCUAGUGUCUUCGGUGAUGCAGCUAACGCAUUAAACAUUCCGCCUGGGGAGUACGGUCGCAAGAUUAAAACUCAAAGGAAUAGACGGGGACCCGCACAAGCGGUGGAGCAUGUGGUUUAAUUCGAAGAUACGCGAAGAACCUUACCUAGCCUUGACAUAUUUGAAAAUCCACCAGAGAUGGAGGAGUGCCUUCGGGAGUUCAUAUACAGGUGCUGCACGGCUGUCGUCAGCUCGUGUCGUGAGAUGUUGGGUUAAGUCCCGCAACGAGCGCAACCCUCGUCACUAGUUACUAACGAUUCGGUCGAGGACUCUAGUGAGACUGCCUUCGCAAGAAGGAGGAAGGUGAGGACGACGUCAAGUCAUCAUGGCCCUUACGGCUAGGGCAACACACGUGCUACAAUGGCCAGGACAGUGAGAAGCGAUACCGCGAGGUGGAGCAAAUCUAUAAACCUGGUCUCAGUUCGGAUUGUAGUCUGCAACUCGACUACAUGAAGCUGGAAUCACUAGUAAUCGUAGAUCAGCUAUGCUACGGUGAAUACGUUCCCGGG